CCUGGUGACCAUAGCGGAGGUGUCAUACCCGUUCCCAUCCCGAACACGGAAGUCAAGCCCUCCCGCGCCGAUGGUACUCCCCUCACCAAGCCGUUUUGCAAAAGACGUCUUGGUGAGGGGUGGGAGAGUAGGUCGUUGCCAGGC
This 144-nucleotide ribosomal RNA is filed under the name Spirochaetaceae bacterium. The record is from RNAcentral. Lineage: Bacteria; Pseudomonadati; Spirochaetota; Spirochaetia; Spirochaetales; Spirochaetaceae.